This 3096-nucleotide long non-coding RNA is filed under the name Anolis carolinensis (green anole). Its description in RNAcentral is "lncRNA (ENSACAG00000038782.1)". Lineage: Eukaryota; Metazoa; Chordata; Lepidosauria; Squamata; Anolidae. The record is from RNAcentral.
AUGCAUGGAGUCUGUGGCCUUACAAAUAACCUCCAAAAUAUGAACACAUCUAAGCUACAGUUGCUGUUCAGACAUUCUUUGGGAGAGGUAAAGAAAAGAAGAAAAACUAAGAUCAACUUCUCCAGAGAGGACAAGUUUCAUCCCAACAGCCCCCCAAUGAAAACCAACAGUGGCGGUUUCUAUUGGAAAUGUUAAUUACUUCUGUGGAUAAUUAGACUUGCAGGGUUUUGGAAGCAUCUGACCUCACUUAAUAAUGGCAGAAGAAGGUGAGUGGGGGGGGGGGGAAGAGAUGUGUUUUACACAUGCAGAGGGAAGCUAAACCAGGAGAAAACUCCCAGAUUAAAGGGGUAUCUACUAGUGUUGUGCAUUUGUAUGGAAUUGCUGAUCGUUUUGUGUAGUCUCAUUCAUGUUGUGUCAUUUUUAUAUUUGUGUCCCGCUAACAAAUAUUGGCCACCUAUACGACACAAAUUUUCAUCUCACUAACAAGAAACACAAAUAUUUUUAUGCCAAGGAGAGGGAGGGAGGAGUAAGGCAAAGUAAAAGAAACCAAUAGAAGAAAAGUUAGCCCAAGCAGAAGUUAUUCAUUUCCUUUUAAAUUUAUUUAUUUAUUUAUUUUUAAACACAUCAUAAUAAAUAAUGAAUGGGGGGGGGGGGAAGAAGGGGUUUUUGAACUAGUUCCCCAGCCAAACCCACCUGAUAUUGUUAUUAAAGUAUUUUAAAAACAAGCUCUCUCUGCAGCCAGCCACUGCCAGCCAGGCAGGCAGAACUGUUUGUUCCCUAAUCCCCAGCAAGGCGAAGCAGAAAGCAGUGCACUUGGGGGGAGGAUUACAAUGAAACUCCAAAAAAGCAUUUGCUUUCAAAAAUGUUAAAUAAAAAUAAAACACCCAAGGGAACACUAGGGUUGUGGAGACUUGCAACAUCUGUAAAUGACUAAUUGUUUUCCAUUCCCAUUCUCACAUUAUUUGCCAUCUUGCUUGGUUGUAUUGUAGCUUCUUUGCAAAGGAACACAUACGUGCAUUUAAGGCCCUUUCCACACAACUGUAUUAAAUCUACAUUGAACUAGAUUAUAUGGUAGUAUGGACUCAAAUAAUCCACUUCAAAACAGACAUUGUGGAUUAUCUGCCUUGAUAUUCUGGGUUAUAUGGCUGCAUGGAAGGGCCCUAAGGCACACUCAUUUUUGUGUAAAUCACUAACAGGAUUCUGCCCUGUUUUGUGAAGGAAUGGGCAAAAGGUAGUCCUCCAAAUGUAGUUGGACUGCAAGUGUGAGAAGCCCUAGACAGCAAAGCCAAUGAUAAAUCUUACUGGGAGUUCCUGCACAACCCCAAUGGGAAAGUUACACUUUGCUUUCCUAUCCUGGUUAAGCAGGAUGACCUUCUGGGAUUCUCCUCAUAUGAAUCUGCCAACUUUUCCAUGCUGAGCGUGGUAGAACAUCUGAAUUUAAGUCUGGUCCCCUCCUUCUAUUGUUCCCUACUUAUUACUUAUGUUCCAGUCCAUUUGGCCUUAAUUGUGUGACUUGCUAUUGACAGUUAUGAUAAGUUAAGAUAAACCGACAAAGACAGAGGGAAGAAGAUGACACUUUAGGAAACUGGAAGCUUUCCAAACUUUGUACCCAUUUUGCAAGUUAAGAUACUUUUGUCGUAUAUACCUCAUCUUAUAUCUGAGGUAUGGCAAACAUUUCCCCGUUGUCUCUUUUAACACAAUAUUUGUGAUAAAUUUCUGAAAGAAAAUAAUAAAGCAAUAAACAAGCACAUGGUAGGGAGAUAAAAACUUAAAGCAUAAUAAUGUGAUGAUUCCAGAUGUCAUAGGAAGGGCAAGUAUCCAACCUUUCCUUUGGAAAGCCUUCACACUGUACAGCUGUUGACAGUAAUAAUUUCCAUUAGUCUUAAGGAGAUGAAACACAAUGCUGAAAAAUGAGAGAGGGCCAUCGCAAAAUAUCUCAGCAGGGUUCUUCCUUCUAAUGUUUAUAAUCCAUCUAAAGCUUUUUGACAUCUUCUUGGACUUCAAAGGCUGCAAAGGUAGCAGGGGAAUCACAACCAUCCUCAGCUAAAUUCAACACAAUCUGGAAAAGACACAUCUGUUGUUUUCUCCAUACCAUGCCUGUGAGAGAUUUCUUUUUUAACUCUGUCCAUUAUGUUUUUGCCUCUCUCUGAUACGUUAGUUCCAUUUUGAUCUGACAGUAAAAAGUUCCACAUGUCUGAACUUUUACUUUAUUUAAAGCUGCCCUUUCCUAUUCCAUUCUUCUCUGCCUUAAGCAACUAGACCUCUUGGAAGGCUUCAGGCGGUGAGUUCUUGGACAAACUUAGAGACAACCUGCAGAAAAGCAUGAAGACAAAUACCUUCUAUUAAUCAUUUGCCACUAUACUGCCAUUUCAUACACUGAGACAGGAUUUUGAAAUGUUGGUGGAUUUGUUUUCCCCUGGCCAAUUGUGCUUACAAAUACCCAGGCCAACGAUAUUUAAACAGAACAUUUCUCACUGACAUGUUAAAUGAUCUGAUUCACAUUAUAGCUAAUAGUACUCGCCUGCCUGAGUGAACAUUAUUUCACUUUACCGAUCUGAUUUGGCCACACCUUCUGCCCUGAGACCAUUCAAAUAAAAAGACAGCAGAUCUAUUGACUGAUUGGGGGGUUGGUGGUGGUUGUGAGCUGAUGUACUCAAUCACAUCAGUGGACAUCUGUUGAAACAAAAAAGUAUUGCACACCAAGAGAGGCUGUUAGUUCAAGACAGAGCAAAUCAGGCAAAGCAAUGCACCCAAGGCUCUGUUGUUACAGUUUGUCACACUUUAGAAAGUUAUGUGUUAAAAGCGAUUUUUGUUACAACAUUUGAACAUAACCCAAUGUCAUUGCUGAUCACAAUGGUGAAAAAAUAACUAGUUAUUGUACUGCCAACGAGUUUUCCAUUAGCUUCUCUUAGCUUUUUUAAAGAGUGGGAGAAACUUUAGGAUUGACAAGAAAAAUUAAACUUAAAAAAUAUGUCAAAUAUUCCUUAAAAGUAACUUGCAAAACUAGCUGGAACCCCCUAUGGUGCCUUUAUUGCAUUCUUAUCACUUCUGAAGAAGCUUCUUAGAGUUGGAGUAUUACUUGAAAUUAUUUACUUC